AAAAAAAUGGUGGUUCAGGAAUCACCCUCCUUUUUGUUUCAGUGUUCAUCCCUCCUCCCUCAUCCAGGCAGCUCUGUGUAUCUGGUGAAAUUGCCUCUGGACCAUCAGAGUGGGCUUGAUUGGUUUGAAGAACUUUCAAAGGGAGCUCUCAUGAAUGGAAGUCAGUAAACUGGGAUUCAGAGGUCACAUCUGGCUCUCCAUCUGGUUUUGUAAAAUGGACUUUAUUCCUAAACAGGUAUGCUCACACAUUUA
RNAcentral lists this long non-coding RNA (252 nucleotides) under Ictidomys tridecemlineatus (thirteen-lined ground squirrel). Its description in RNAcentral is "lncRNA (ENSSTOG00000033626.1)". The record is from RNAcentral. Lineage: Eukaryota; Metazoa; Chordata; Mammalia; Rodentia; Sciuridae.